AUAUUUCAAAACUGAACUUAUUGUUUUAAUUUUGACAGAAAUUAGUCUCCCAUUCGGAUAUAGUCAUUCAUAUUUGUUCAUUUUGUUCUGUUUGUUAUACGCAAGAUAUCAAAAAAUCAUUUAGAAAACAAUAUGAUAUUUUAAUAUUUUAUUAGAUUAAACACAUUCAUUUAUGAUAUAUAUAUAAUGAGUAAACAAAUGAUAUAACAAAAUUAAACAUGAUAAAUAAUAUAAAAACAGUAAAGUUUAUUUAAAAGUUAUAAUAACCAUCUAUAAGUAUCAAAAUAAUUCAUAUAUAACAUCUAUAUAUAAAAAAAAAAAAACCGUGGACGAUACGUCUUCACAAAGUAUGGCCGUUUUUGUCAUAUGGCCGUUUCAUCUUUUCGGGGUAUGGCCGUUUCAUCCUAUGGACGUCAUGGCAGUAUGGCCGUCACGUCCUGCAUCGCUCUGGCGCACCAUCAAUAAAUCAACGACACUCUCUCUACCGUGGUAUUGAAACCAGCAUUGGUAACCAAACAUAUUCAUACAGAUACAGACUACCAUUCAUCUACAUUUAGGAAGUCUGAAUAAUACUGAAAACUAUGGUGCAGAAUUUCCAACAGGACUCCUUAUUUUAUAUAAGACAAGGAGUGGUUUAUUUUCCCAUGGUUGUUACAUCAUCUUGUCUUUGAAUAUGCUCGAAGUACAGGGACUUUUAUGGAAUUCAUUGACAUGAUAGUCAAGCAAGAUGUCAACAUCUCGUCCAACCCUCUUCCAGCAAAGCCAAAGCUGACCAAGGAUCUUCACCCUUUCAAAACAGGCUGUAUACAGGACGAGUUAUUCCAGUAGGAACAGGGCUAUAUAUAUGCAAGCAAUGCUCAAUUAAGAUGAAUUUUUGUAAAAGUGACAAUAGCCAGGUCAAACUAAAUACAUGUAUAGAAGAAGAUAUUGAUCUAGACUCGCAGCUAACCUUUCUGUCAGUGUCAACAACAACUGAACUUUCACAGCAGUCAACAUCAGAUUGGGAGACUGAUAAUGCUUCUAACAGAAACAAUUUCAACCAACCAAACAAGCAACAGAAACUUUCCAACUUUAAAACAUCAGUUAAAUCCAUGGGAUGUAUCUCAAAAAAUAACAGUUCAUCAUUUAUGGAGAUUUUAAUGUUAUGGUUUUUCUUUUACAAGAAAGUUAAUGUACACUUGUUUUAUAGUAAAACUUAUAGCCGUUCAAGUAUAAAAAAAACACAUUCAACUUUAUUGAAAUUUGAAGAUUCAUAUGACUUAUUUUAAUUCUGUUAUCUCCGAGGAUGUGAUGUAGAGCAUUAUAGGUACAGUAAUCUUAACAGCUAUCCAAUUUCAUUCAAAAUUCUUUAUAAAUUUUGCACUGGUAUAUAUAGACUAAGUAAUUUGUUUUUCGUCUAGUUAUGGGAUUUUUUUUAGAAGCAUUUAUGAUUUUCAUGUUUGUAUUGACCACAUUGCAGCAACAUAGAUAUAGGUACCUGGCAAAUCUUGCCUUGUUAGCAUACUAGGCUCAAAGGGUCAUAAAAAAAUUUCCAUCACUAAGUGUCUGUUAAAAUCAUCUGUUUACAGUUUUCACUUUUAAACCAUCAUCUUAAUAACGUUAGAAGAAGUAUCAUACAUAUAUAUAUGUAUACAAAAUUUAAAAACUUUUCAAUAUAUAUAUAUAUAUAUAUAUAUUGAUAAAAACUAUCAACAUGACAAGAUCUAGAUACCCAAAAUUUUUCUGAAAAAUUGGACAUAACAUCUAUGAGCUAUUGUCCCUGAAAUGUGUAAAUUUACAAAUUUUCACAGUUUUCUGCUACUAUCCGACAACUAUAAAAAUAUAUUAUAAGAAUAAAUUGCAAAAGUGGUCAGAAGAAACUUUUUUUUUACAGUCUGAACUUAUUCUGAAUUGUUUAACUUCUAAUUUAAAUUGAUUGCGUUUGAAAUAUGUGUUUUUUAUCGUUUUAGGUGCACAAUUUGUCAAUACGAUCUAUUUCGGCUCCUGGGAGCCUCUAGAUUUAUAAUGAAUAAUUUGUAUUUAUGUAUGAUUAUUUUCUUAAUGUAUUAAAUGAAACAUUAAUUAUUCUU
Molecule: long non-coding RNA, 2069 nt
Organism: Mytilus californianus (California mussel)
Lineage: Eukaryota; Metazoa; Mollusca; Bivalvia; Mytilida; Mytilidae
Exons: 3
Source: RefSeq, a predicted model, not a curated record